This 274-nucleotide long non-coding RNA is filed under the name Elaeis guineensis (African oil palm). RNAcentral's name for it is "long non-coding RNA (EGUI_LNC047779)". Lineage: Eukaryota; Viridiplantae; Streptophyta; Magnoliopsida; Arecales; Arecaceae. The record is from RNAcentral.
UCAAAGAAUAUUUUUGUAGAGAAAAAAGAUCGUUGAAAGACUCUGAAUACAAUUAAAGAUUAAUAAAGCCAAGAGAAAUUAAUUUUGAAGAGCAUCAGCAUAAGAAAAAUCAUCUCAAAGAAUUCGAGCCGAUCCAUCCAAAAAUCGAGCUGACUCUAGCAUGGUAUGCACCUGCUAUUUUGGUUUGGCAUGCAACCGAACCAAUUUAAAAUGGAUCCGAGCCGGCUCUCUCAUAGUGACAAAAAAAGAGUUUUUGAGUUUUGCAAGUCGAGCC